CCUUCUCCACAGGCCCAGGGAGUGGCGUGGGGGUCUUUCAUUUAACAAGGGGGGUCGUACGUUCGACGAUGCGACAGGUUUGGGGAAGGAAGUGACUGAGAGAUUGGACUCUUGGGUAUUGUCUCUGGUCCAGGACCUGCACUGGGGCUUUCCUGCUGCACGUCCUCCUGAGGCCUUACUGAGGCUUCCCUGGAAGGCGUCAAGGCCAGACGCAGGACGUUGUUCCCUGGGCACAGAUCCCCCCCAGUCACUUGUCCCGCACCAGGCUGCACUGGAGGAGGCUCUGAGAUGAGGUUGUGUGGAGGACGCUGUGAGGCCCUCCUCUCCAAGGGCAGCCGCCGGGGACCGCUUCUUCCCACAUCUCAGCCAAGCUAUGGCAGAAGCUCUGCAGAGCUGACGGUGAUCUUUGAUCUCUGCCUGGGAGGCUCAGAGAACAGCCUAGGCCACGUCUGGGCUGCUGGUCUCCCCACAAGUCCCCUGCACAGAUCUUUCGAUGUCCACAGCUCCAAUGGAGGACUGGCCUACCUGAGAGCAGACUUCUCCCGGGAUCUGGCCAAGUGACAGCUGGUGCACACUUGACCUGCCAUCACACCAGCCAGCAGAGCUGGCUUCCAGAAUGACCUACAUUUUAACCGGUCCUCACUGGCCAUUCCUGAUGCUGCCUUCAAGGCCUGUACAGUCGGCACCUGCUGCCCUUAGCAUGUCCGGAAUCCACACCACCAGCCGCUGUGGUGACACUGGACACUGGGGACCAGAGCUUCCCAGACUUGCCUGAUGGUAAUGGUGUGUCCUUAUGUGGGACGACCACACUCCACACCUCUGCGCCUUUCUUGUCCAUGCCACCUGUUCCUCUGUCUGGGAUGCUUUUCUAUUCAGAUUUUGUCCCAGGGAACAAAAACAAAAAUGCAAACCAAAACAGAAGACAAAAGCAUUACUUGUAUCUGUCGCAGGGUCCGCAGACUGACAGGCCUACCUGUCAGGUAGAAAACAUCAAUGAGUGAGGUGGUUUGCGAGGGAGCGGUGUCCUGGGUGGCACGGUGAGUGCAUGAGGGGGCGGCGAGAGUAGGCCCCGCUGCUGUGCCAGGCAGAGGGCAGGCCCAGGGCUGCACAACACUCUGAAGAGAAGUGGGAAAACGGUGUUUUUUAGUAUGUAAUCUCUUGAUUUGUUCUUUAGAGUAUUCAGAAUUCAGAUUAAAGAAAAAACUGCAGGAAGUAAAACAAGGCACUGCUGCAGCUCAGGGUUGGCCUGGGUUGCUGCCCUGAACGUCAGCGCAGGUCCAGCCCCGUCUGCCCAGGAUCUCGUGGAAACUCCACUGAAACCUGCUGUGUGCAGACCCCCUGGCUGCCCUCUGCGUGGGCCUGAGCCCCAGAGGGCCUUCUGUGUUACUGGCUGGCUGGGGGCUCCUCAGGGUGGGACCCUGCCAGGCCCAGCUCCUUCACCUGCUUCUCCCUGAGAAGCCAGGGCUGCCCCAAGAUUCUUUUUCUUUAAGAUUUUGGUUUUUCGAAUAUGCACCAAUUUGAAAGUCUUUAUUGAAUUUGUUACAGUAUUGCUUCUGUAUUAUGUUUUGGUGUUUUUGGCUGCGAGACGUGGGAUCUAGAUCUUGGCUCCCCUACCAGGGAUCAAACCUGCACCCCUUGCAUUGGGAGGCGAAGUCUUAACCGCUAGACCGCUAGGCAAGUCCCUGCACAAAGAUUCUUUACCAAACUGUUCCCAGAACCCAGUCUAGAAGGAGGUGUGGAGGGAGGCGGGUCUCUGGGCCUCUCACCACGGUGUGCCAGGCUGGCCGUGGGGGCACGCUUCCCCCUUUCCUUUGGCCCCAGACCUGGGAGCGGAUUUUCUCAAAGGCUCCUCCAACCCCCUGAACCUAGAGGUCAGGGCAGAAAGAGCAGCACAGCCACCUGGCAUCCAAGGCAGCUCCCGGCAACCUCCAACCCCGGCUCACACCAGCACCGGAAUUCCCAGACUCAGCCCUGAAAAUCCACACCUAGCUCCUGGCCCCUUUCCGGGUGGUGUAUGUGCUAACUAGCCACCUGCAUUUGUGUAUAAACCAGCGGUCAGCUCGGGGGCCCUGCUGUUCCAGGGAGCCCUUGCCGCCCCCACCUCUGGGGGGGGCACAGCGAGGGGCUGUUCCGCAGGCUUCAGGCUUUGCCUGAGAAAGGAGAGGGGUUUCUCUUUUUCCCUUUCCAAAAACACAUAAAGCAGACAUAGAAAUCAGCCACUGUGGCUUCGAGUCCUUGUCCGUCAUCUCGCAGGGCCACGGAGGCGGGAACACGGCGACCACGAGGACCCCCCUCCCUGGUUCUGUAAGGCGCCUGCAGCCGAGGCCUCUGCUGAGCGGUCACCAUCCAGAAGCGCGGUUCUCAGCCUGGCUGCACGCUCAGGUCCCCCGCUUUUAAGAGCCACACUCUUGGCGACACCGCAGGGAAUCCGUAGGUGAAUCCAUUUCACCCGUAAGCUGCCGUGACAUCCAAGCGCUUUUAAUUGUUGCUACAGAAAGACUCGCGUGGCCUCCGCGCAGCUGCAGCUCGGAGCCUAAGCAACGCGUUUGCCCGAGCUGUCUUCCAGACGCUCGCAGCCAGCUGCCCCUUGUUUGAGCCGAGCCGGUUAAAACUGAGCCUUGCGUUGAGGGCUGACUGAGUGGAUCGCGGCGAGGGAGCUGCUGCGCCGCCUGCGCGGCCCCCACCCGGAAGGCGGUCGUCUGCCAGCGGUUCAGCACCAGGUGCCCCGUGAAGCUGUUUCCUUUGAGGAACCUGCAUCCUCUCCUCCAUUCCCACCGGCAGCGCACGAGGGCUCGCUUGUCCACAUCGUCACCAACACGUCUUAUUUCUCGUCUUUGAGGAACAGCCAUUUCCACAGGUGUGCGCUGGUACCUCGUGGUUUUGACUGGCUUUCCUGAUGGCUAGUGACGUGGAGCAUCUUUUCAGAAGAACCUGGCCCACACCCUAGAAUGCAGGCUCUGGAGAGAGGGAGGUGCUCUGAGAAGAAGCUGCAGCGCGGGCAGGUCCUGGUGCAGAGCUGCCGGGCUCCACCCCCAGGACACGGGGAAGUCACGGGGCGGGCAGUGCUGGGGAGUCGGUGGGGAGGAGGAGAAAAGGUUUGCUCACCUAAGGAUGCCACAACCCCAAAAGGAGCGCCUUCUAGAACAAAGGUAAAGUCACUAGGACGGGGUGGUAGGGUUUUCCUUUCCCUCGUGGACGUGGAUGCUGAUCUAAUAGGGGAGUUUCAAAGUGUGGAGCGGGGGGAACAAAAGAAAAGUGAGAGUUUUAAUUUCUGAAACAGCUGUUUCUCCAUUGCACACACCAUGGUAUUAUGCAAAUCAACCUCUUGGAAAAUUUAGAUACAGAAGGGAACUAGACAAUUUCCCCCCAGAGAGAUGAAAAGCUUUUUGGCUCUGAAGUCUUUGAUAAAAGGCGUACGUAAUUCUCGUGUCUACUGUACAGAAUACUGCCUCCAGCUGGGCCUCUUGGGUCUGAGCUGCUAAACACUCUGUGACCCAGACAGGGUUCAAGCCUCCAUCUUUACGCCUGCAUCACAGGACUUAACACGUAAUCCAAGAAUUUCUUACACUAAUUUAUACAUUUUUAAUUGGUUGCAUAUAUUAACAUGUACUAUAAGAUUCUUUUCUAAGAAGCAUUACAUAAUAAAUGGGUACUGUAAAAAGAUCUGAUUAGUUAAAAGUAACAAGCAUUAACAGAUACAUACAAAACUCAGCCUGACCAGACUGGGUGUGAGCCUGUAAUGCAGCGCAGGGCACGGCCUUCCCGAGUGGUAGCCUUCACGGGGGUGAGGGGAGUGGGGGGGGGGGGG
Long non-coding RNA from Hippopotamus amphibius kiboko, 3808 nucleotides. RefSeq lists it as uncharacterized. NCBI's taxonomy places the organism in Eukaryota, Metazoa, Chordata, Mammalia, Artiodactyla, Hippopotamidae. The transcript has 4 exons. The record is from RefSeq and is a predicted model, not a curated record.